This 433-nucleotide ribosomal RNA is filed under the name uncultured bacterium. RNAcentral describes it as "partial 16S ribosomal RNA". It matches the Rfam family "Bacterial small subunit ribosomal RNA", at positions 29 to 507 of the family's 1533-position model. The record is from RNAcentral.
AACGAACGCUGGCGGCAUGCCUAACACAUGCAAGUCGAACGAGACCUUCGGGUCUAGUGGCGCACGGGUGCGUAACGCGUGGGAACCUGCCCUUAGGUUCGGAAUAACUCCCCGAAAGGGGUGCUAAUACCGGAUAAUGUCUUCGGACCAAAGAUUUAUCGCCUUUGGAUGGGCCCGCGUUGGAUUAGCUAGUUGGUAGGGUAAAAGCCUACCAAGGCGACGAUCCAUAGCUGGUCUGAGAGGAUGAUCAGCCACACUGGGACUGAGACACGGCCCAGACUACUACGGGAGGCAGCAGUUGGGAAUAAUGGACAAUGGGCCAAAGCCUGAUCCAGCCAUGCCGCGUGAGUGAUGAAGGCCUUAGGGUUGUAAAGCUCUUUUACCCGGGAUGAUAAUGACAGUACCGGGAGAAUAAGCUCCGGCUAACUCCGUG